UGUGCCCAGUGUGGAAAAGGAAUCCUCUCAGUAAUCCACUUUCCAUCUCUGGGUACUGA
This 59-nucleotide microRNA precursor is filed under the name Sarcophilus harrisii (Tasmanian devil). Its description in RNAcentral is "Sha-Novel-14-P2_pre stem-loop". Lineage: Eukaryota; Metazoa; Chordata; Mammalia; Dasyuromorphia; Dasyuridae. The record is from RNAcentral.